AAACCUGCAGCUUAACUGUAGAAUUGCCGUUGAUACUGCUGCUCUUGAGUAUGGUCAAGGUAGGCCGAAUGUGUAAUGUAGCGGUGAAAUGCUUAGAUAUUACACAGAACACCGAUUGCGAAGGCAGCUUGCUGGGCCAUUACUGACGCUCAUGCACGAAAGCGUGGGAUCGAACAGGAUUAGAUACCCUGGUAGUCCACGCCGUAAACGAUGAUCACUCGCUGUUGGCGAUACACUGUCAGCGGCUAAGCAAAAGCAUUAAGUGAUCCACCUGGGGAGUACGACCGCAAGGUUGAAACUCAAAGGAAUUGACGGGGGCCCGCACAAGCGGAGGAACAUGUGGUUUAAUUCGAUGAUACGCGAGGAACCUUACCUGGGCUUAAAUGUAGAGUGCAUUGGUGUGAAAGCAUCAUUUUCUUCGGAACUCUCUGCAAGGUGCUGCAUGGUUGUCGUCAGCUCGUGCCGUGAGGUGUCGGAUUAAGUUCCAUAACGAGCGCAACCCUUAUCGUUAGUUGCCAGCGGGUAAUGCCGGGAACUCUAACGAAACUGCCGGUGUAAACCGAGAGGAAGGUGGGGAUGACGUCAAAUCAGCACGGCCCUUAUGUCCAGGGCUACACACGUGUCACAAUGGCCGGUACAGAGGGCAGCUACCUGUUGACAGGAUGCGAAUCUCCAAAGCCGGUCUCAGUUCGGAUCGGAGUCUGCAACUCGACUCCGUGAAGCUGGAUUCGCUAGUAAUCGCGCAUCAGCCAUGGCGCGGUGAAUACGUUCCCGGGCCUUGCACACACCGCCCGUAAGGGC
RNAcentral lists this ribosomal RNA (801 nucleotides) under uncultured bacterium. Its description in RNAcentral is "bacterial SSU rRNA". It matches the Rfam family "Bacterial small subunit ribosomal RNA", at positions 598 to 1403 of the family's 1533-position model. The record is from RNAcentral.